AGCCAUGCAUGUCUAAGUAUAAGCAAAUUAUACCGUGAAACUGCGAAUGGCUCAUUAAAUCAGUUAUCGUUUAUUUGAUAGUACCUUACUACAUGGAUAACCGUGGUAAUUCUAGAGCUAAUACAUGCUAAAAACCCCAACUUCGGGAGGGGUGUAUUUAUUAGAUAAAAAACCAAUGCCCUUCGGGGCUCUUUGGUGAUUCAUAGUAACUUAACGGAUCGCAUGGCCUUGCGCCGGCGACGGUUCAUUCAAAUUUCUGCCCUAUCAACUUUCGAUGGUAAGGUAUUGGCUUACCAUGGUUUCAACGGGUAACGGGGAAUUAGGGUUCGAUUCCGGAGAGGGAGCCUGAGAAACGGCUACCACAUCCAAGGAAGGCAGCAGGCGCGCAAAUUACCCAAUCCCGACACGGGGAGGUAGUGACAAUAAAUACUGAUACAGGGCUCUUUUGGGUCUUGUAAUCGGAAUGAGUACAAUUUAAACCCCUUAACGAGGAACAAUUGGAGGGCAAGUCUGGUGCCAGCAGCCGCGGUAAUUCCAGCUCCAAUAGCGUAUAUUAAAGUUGUUGCAGUUAAAAAGCUCGUAGUUGAACCUUGGGCCUGGCUGGCCGGUCCGCCUCACCGCGUGUACUGGUCCGGCCGGGCCUUUCCUUCUGGAGAACCCCAUGCCCUUCACUGGGUGUGUGGGGGAACCAGGACUUUUACUGUGAAAAAAUUAGAGUGUUCAAAGCAGGCCUUUGCUCGAAUACGUUAGCAUGGAAUAAUAGAAUAGGACGUGCGGUUCUAUUUUGUUGGUUUCUAGGACCGCCGUAAUGAUUAAUAGGGAUAGUCGGGGGCAUCAGUAUUCAAUUGUCAGAGGUGAAAUUCUUGGAUUUAUUGAAGACUAACUACUGCGAAAGCAUUUGCCAAGGAUGUUUUCAUUAAUCAGUGAACGAAAGUUAGGGGAUCGAAGACGAUCAGAUACCGUCGUAGUCUUAACCGUAAACUAUGCCGACUAGGGAUCGGGCGAUGUUUCUAUCUUGACUCGCUCGGCACCUUACGAGAAAUCAAAGUUUU
Molecule: ribosomal RNA, 1052 nt
Filed under: Murispora cicognanii
Lineage: Eukaryota; Fungi; Ascomycota; Dothideomycetes; Pleosporales; Amniculicolaceae
Description: SSU rRNA
Rfam family: Eukaryotic small subunit ribosomal RNA
Source: RNAcentral